This is a long non-coding RNA of Glycine soja, 125 nucleotides long. RefSeq lists it as uncharacterized. The record is from RefSeq and is a predicted model, not a curated record. The transcript is spliced from 2 exons. Lineage: Eukaryota; Viridiplantae; Streptophyta; Magnoliopsida; Fabales; Fabaceae.
UGACUAUAACUUUUGUUUUCUUGCAGAAAUGCAAGACCAAAGCUGACAUUUGCUCUUUUCAUGGAAAUUUUUGUGCUUUCUCUGUUAGGGGUUAGUGUGACUCUUAAUAUGUACUUUGCAAGCCU